ACACCCACAAACACGCACACACACAAACACACACACACAAAAGAGAAAGAAAAGAAAAAGAAAACAUAAACGGAGUGGGCAAGAGUCACAUCACACCUACCAGGGAAAAGACAAGCUCCCCAGUUAAGGGACAGGCUGGUGCUGGGUGGGGGCAGGGAGGAGCAGGGCACCGCAGGGAAUUCCCUUAGGGCUUCCUCCAGCGGGUGGGCGCUGGGAGGAGAUGCUCUGAUGGUGAGCCCCCUCUCCCCAAAGGCGCUGGGGGUACAGCACAGAAGGGAGUGUGCAAAUCUGGUUGACCCCAUCCUAGCCCCCAACUGCUUGCGAGAGCCUCUGAGUGUUUCUACGGGUGGGAAUUGGGCUGGAGUUAACCCGGAAGCAAAACCAUUAUCAAUGACCCUUGUCUGUCUUCCGGAAGUUGUGGAGCACGCAGGUCACUCUGGUCCGCGUUCUCCUGCUCCUUGGCCCACUGUGGCCACGUGAGGAGACUGGCAGGCACAUCCACCCCUGACCUGGUGAGUUGGCUCGGCUGCGUGUGGCUCGGCUGCAUGUGGCUGAGGGUAUGGACCAGUCCUCGCUCCCCGUCCCCCCACCCCCGCUUCCUUUGGCACAUUCUUGUCUAAAUCAGCUCAGGGUGCGAGGAUUUGACGGAUUUUAUGGGGCUCUGUAAGGGGAGGGCUCCUCCACUUCCCAGUAGGCUCGCUUUACUUUGCACGUGAGGAAUCGCUCACUAGUCAGCCCUGAUCCAAUUUUGCUGCCAAUCCCGCCCCCCUCUGCGGCAUCCCACCGCCGACCGUCCACAAAGCUCUCAACGUUUCUGGCCUGCUGAGGGCCCGCUGUGCUAUUUUCCAGCACCCUUGUCUUUGCUGAUGUUUCCGUGCUUUAGUUAUUUCCGGGGAAGUUUGAGAGGGAGAGGAUGGAAAUGACAGUGGGAAGAUGCAAGUUGCCAUUCCGAAGCGGCAACCUCGUUGUAAAAAGCACACUCUACUUUGAGGUUGAAAAGCCUCCUCUGGGUGCACAGUAUGUUUGUUACAAUGUAUUUGUUAAGAAGCAAAGCCAGUCCUUUUGAGCACACCAGGCAUGUUUCCCCAGGGCCUUUUGCACGACCCUGUGCUGGCCUCUCCCCCAGAUGCUUGCCUGGCUUUCCCCCCUCCCUCAGUCCUCUUCUCUGAGGUCCCUUCCUCAGGAUACAUUACUCUCUUUCCUUUCCUUUCCUUUUUUUUUUUUUACGUGGCACCUGCAGUGUAUGAAAGUUCCCGGGCGAGGGGUUGAAUUGGAGCUCCAGCUGAAGGCCUAUGCCACAGCACGCAGGACCCCAGCUGCAUCCGUGACCGAUGCUGCAGCUUGUGACACCGUGAGAUCCUUAACCCUCAGAUUAAGCGAAUGAGGCUGGGGAUCAAACCCACAUCCUCACUGACACUAUGUUGCAUUCUUAACCCACUAAGCCACAGCAGGGAACUCCCUAUUUUUACUUCUUCACUAGUACUUCUCUUUGACAUUGGACUGUGUAUUUUUGUUUUCUUUCUGCCUUUCCUCUCAAUAGCAAUAAACUCUGAAAGCCGGCAGAGUCUUGGUUUGCUCACUUCUCAAUCCCCAGCACCUGGAACAGUGGCACCCAGGAGCAUGUGCCAGUGCUUAUGAAUGUAAGGAUGUGUGACAGUGGAGGAGGACGACUAGUCCCACCAGGUCAGCUGGACUGGUCUUUACUUCCCUUUCUGUUAUGUCAGAUUCACACUCAGCUAACCUGAUAGUUUCGGUAGUUUUUUCCUCCUAGAUAAAACCGAAAAACCCUUGCAUUUCAUUGUAUGAUAAUACAUGGGCAUUCUGGUUAACAGUCUGGCUCUGUCGUUUUAAGGAACAAAGCCUGGAGCUGUAACCAUGGCAGAGGUCUAAACCAGCUCCCCAUCGUCUUGGUGUUUGAGGCUGUCUCUCUGAGUACAACCCUUUGUUUGUGAGCACGUAGCUCAGAUUUGCCCGCUGGACAAUCUUUCAGAGCUAAUAAGGCAAUUCACGGCUCCCAGUGGCAGGGUUUGGUUUGUUCUGUCCUCAGCUGACGUGGUUUUAUUAAUACCAGCCAUCACUCGGUACUUUUCUAUUAUUUUGCAGUGUGAUUCAUGAUAAGCCUCUGGAUAAAAGGAGCUUGCCAAUAGUAAAUGACCACUUAGGUCAUGCUUUGAUUACCUCCAGCUGCCUAUUCAAAUAGAAACAUUCAAGGUGGAAAGUGAUUACUAGAUGUAGACUCUAAGUACUAAGAGGAGUUAAAGUGGGAAAGAAGCUUCUUUGAAGGACUGAGUUUAGAGCACAUCCUGGGCUGAUUUUCCAGAGCAUUCAGGCAGUGUGCAAGGACUAGUCAUUUUCUUCUUCUUCUUUUUUUUUUUUUUUUUUUGGUCACUCUGGGGCAUAUGGGGUUCCUGAGCCAGGAAUCAGAUCUGAGCCAUAGUUGCAACCUAAGCUGCAGCUGUGGCAAGGCCUGAUCCUUAACCCACUGAGCCGAGCCGAGGAUGGAACCUGUGUCCCAGCCCUCCCAAGAUACUGCCAAUCCUGUUGUGCCACAGCAGGAGCUCCAAAGAUGAGUCAUUUGUUAGGAGGUACUUGGUACUGAAAGUCCUCCAGGAGAGAAACGAGAGCCAGGAAAAAGAGCAGGUAUGAGGAAGGAAGGAGGGAACAGAAGGGGCAGAAACAGGGGGGGAAAAAGGAAAUUAUUCUUGUUGGGAAGUAAUAGAAUAUCACGGUAAGAGAAUUUUGCUCACUGAUGUUAAUGCAAGAUCUUCUAUCCAGAACACUUAUUCAGUAGGGCAAGAAGUCAAGGGAAAGCGCUUUGAUGUUGCCAAAAUUGCCUUGAACACCGUCAGCCCUGGAAGCAGCAAUUCAAGGCACUGAGAGCAUCCAGUUGUAAAGUGUAGCUGGUACCCACAGACAGAUGUAACAGAAAUCUUGAUUGCUGCUUCCAGAAUCUCUCCUUUUUCUGUUUUUAUUAGUAAUUCAGAGUCUUGGUUACUGCCCUGGCUCCCAGAAGAACUCUCAGGAUGUUUGAUUGACCUCAUGAUGCUGGCUGCCAUGUUGGAGCAGAAUAUGGAUUUGGAUUAAGACUAGCUCACAGGGUACAUGUUGAUGAAAGCUGUUAAAGGAAAAUCCCUUCUCUCAUUGGAACAUUCCAUAAUUCCCUCUUGGUUUAGCACCUCCCUGUGGUACCAAACCCAGUUAUCAUGUUAAGUGAUGGCGUUCUAUCUGGGAGGAUGGGAAGUAUCCCAUGAAUGCAAGCUUUGCCUCCAGUUCAGCCUUAAAGAUAACUUAUGUUCAGGUUUGUGCUUAUCAUGUUCAGGUAGAUAACACUCUGUCAUUAAUACUGAAAACUUUUCAGAUUUCACUUAACGUGUUGGCAGCGAAGUAUCCCUCCCAUGUCCACUAGCAACCUCUCAGGCAAAUAACACAAUGGCAUACAUUCUAACAAGAGCAUACGUAGGUCACCAACAAGGGGGCUUGAUGAAUGGUAAAACAAUGAAUGUUAUAUGGCAUUAAAAAAUGUGGGCUUGAGGAGUUCCUGCCAUGGUGUAGUGGGUUAAGAAUCUGACUGCAGGGAGUUCCCGUUGUGGUACAGUGCAAACGAAUCUGACUAGUAUCCAUGAGGAUGGGGGUUCCAUCCCUGGCCUCGUUCAGUGGGUUAAAUGAUCUGGCGUUGCCGUGAGCUGUGGUGCAGGUUGCAGAUGUGGCUUGGAUCCCACGUUGCUGUGGCUCUGGCAUAGGCCGGCAGCUGUAGCUCCAAUUUGGCCCCUAGCCUGGGAACCUCCAUAUGCU
RNAcentral lists this long non-coding RNA (3792 nucleotides) under Sus scrofa (pig). RNAcentral describes it as "lncRNA (ENSSSCG00000059407.1)". The record is from RNAcentral. Lineage: Eukaryota; Metazoa; Chordata; Mammalia; Artiodactyla; Suidae.